This is a long non-coding RNA of Oncorhynchus nerka (sockeye salmon), 455 nucleotides long. RefSeq lists it as uncharacterized. The transcript has 3 exons. The record is from RefSeq and is a predicted model, not a curated record. NCBI's taxonomy places the organism in Eukaryota, Metazoa, Chordata, Actinopteri, Salmoniformes, Salmonidae.
ACACACAGCAACAAGUCACAGGUGAAAAUGUUGUUUGAGGUAUCAUGUGAUGCUACUAGCAUAAAUGGACCAACACUGAGCAAAUGUAGCUUAAGUCAAAUGGAAAUUUAAAACACAGGGGUCAGAGUAAUAUUGCUGGCACAUAGAUAUAAUGCUAAAUAAAUGCUUGCCAUCACCCCAGUUACUCAAGUCAGGUCAUAGACCUCAACUCCAAGUAGGAGCCACCAAAACAAUACAGAGGACACAAGUAUUACAGUUAAUGUUUAUUUGAGCUAAAACAAGCAAAUGCAGGUACACACUGGACUAGAGUACCCAUGAACUCUGCAUGUCCCACGUCAGAUAUCCAUGGCGUCGUCGCCGGACGGGCCGGUCGCAGCUUCAGAGGUGGCGUCGUCGCCAGACGGGCCGGCCGCAGCGUCAGAGGUGGCGUCGUCGCCAGACGGGCCGGUCGCAGC